RNAcentral lists this long non-coding RNA (1458 nucleotides) under Nicotiana benthamiana. RNAcentral describes it as "long non-coding RNA (NBEN_LNC033628)". The record is from RNAcentral. Lineage: Eukaryota; Viridiplantae; Streptophyta; Magnoliopsida; Solanales; Solanaceae.
UGUCUAGUGGUCACAUCCCAUACAGUUACUAUUCCAUCAUAAUCGCUACUUGCUAUGUGGUUCUUGGUAUACUUAUUCCAGCUCAAGCAGCUCAGCUUAGAACGAAUUGACAUUUCGACAACAGGGCAAUGCACAUCUGCAGGUUCAUUUACUACCUGAAAAGCAGAAGCAUAACAGGCUAGAUCAGUGAAAAGAAUGGACCUUGGGCCUAACUCAAACCCAAAAGCUAGCUUGUUGACAUUUCAACUACAGGGCAAUGCAUAUCUGCAGGUUCAUUUACAACCUGAAAAGCAGAAGCAUAACAGGUAGAUCAGUAACUAGAAGAAGUAACUUGAGAGAAAUAUGCAAAAGGAGAGCUCUGCCAUAAUAUUUGUCCACAAAUAAAACAUACUAUCAUGGCAAGAAAAGGUUAACUAUAUCCUUAAAUGCCAAAUAUGUAAAUAGUACUCAAGGUCAUUUAUGUAAAUAUCAAUGGAACAAAAUUAGCUGCAAUAGUCAGGUGUUGUUCUUCCAUCCAAGCACCACUCCAAUGUGUUGCAGGAACAUAUAUGAAAUUUAAUAGAUCCAAUAUGCCCACCAGGCGACGUGCUGUCUGCAACCAGGAACUUGUUGUCAUCCAAAUUUGCAGCAACAAACAAGGAAAAUACUAUUCCAGAAAGAAUGUCACCUUCACAGAGAAAGAUAUUUCAUUCCCUGUGGAAGGUUCCGUAUUGACACACACCCACAUGCUAUUAAGCAUUAUGUAUGCCAGCAAGGUAUUGAGUGUUCGAGCUGUAAAUGAACCAAUACUAUUUGUGAACAAAGCUCAACUCUUGGUCUCUGAGCUUCUUUAAACUUUAAGUUAGUACGUUAAGGAGCUGAGCUCCUACAAACUUGAGGUCUGCUCUUUUAUAUUCCUUGACGAUUUACUUUUUAACAAUUAUUCACUUAAAUAUAUCUAUAUUAGUGCGAAAAAAAUAAUAGCACCCGAUUUAAUUCUAAAUCUGCUCAUAUUAUAUUAUUACUUUUACAAAGUAUUAUUAAUAAUUUAAUAUAUACAUAAUUUGAGCUUGAACUGAGGUUCGAGCUCUAACUCGAUGUAUCAGCUUGUUUAGUUUGUCACACAAGUUGGGCCAAGUUCAAGUUUGACUAAAUUUAUGUGACGCGUGCUUGAGCUUACUAUCACCAACUUGUUUGGGAUUGAGGAAUAGCUGUUGUUGUGCGGGAACUUGCUUUCAAGCUCAUCUGGAAUUUGAACCAAAGCACUCAAUAAUACUGAAGUUGAGUUUGAACAACCAAAACGCAGGGCGGCUCGGGCUUUUUUUAUGAAUAAUCAGAAGGUGAAAAAUAAUUUCAGAAUAGAAUAGCUUUUGCACUUCCUCAUUUGCAAAAUAAACAAUAGAAGUUGACCCAUGAUAUGUCAUUCAGUAAUGUCAUUGCAUCCAAUGGUAUCAAGUGAUAAAACCAGCUAAAAUUUAA